CCUUCCUCUUUUUCUUUCCCCUCCUCUCCCUCCUCUUUUCCUUCCCCCCUCUUCCUCUCUUCCUCCCCUCCCUUUUCUUCCCCUUCCCGCCGGCUGCCCCACCUUCCCCGCCGUCCACGUGCCGCCGCCAACUCCUUCCUCCCCUCCCGUCGCUGCAGCGUCGCCUCCUUCUCCUCCCUCCUUCCGCGCGACGCCGACAAAGGGGAGAAGGGCUGCCAUCGCCGUUUCGGCCGUCUGCAGCCAUCUUUUCCUCAAAACGACGCCGGAAUCGGACUCCCCACCCCCGAAGACCCCGGCAACGGCUCUCCUCCGCCGUAAAAUCCUCGCCGGCAGCCUCAGGAAGUGUCGCCGGAGCAGCACCUUUCCGGCCACUUUCCAGCCGAAAUUCUUGUACUUCUGGACUCUCCGUAACUCGAUCUUCGCGUAGGCGCUUCCGGAUUCGAAUUCCGACAUCGUUGGCAGGACCGGCUUCCGGACCCUCGUGUUUUCCGGACGCUCAAAAUAUUUCAAUUUCGACUCGGUCCUAAACUCGUUUUAGGGGAGGUAAAUGUCCGCAAGUUAGGAUAAUCCAGCUUUCCUGCCAGCUCCACCCGAAGCGUAGGCAUGGACUGCGGAACACGUUAGAAUUAAUGAGGCUUUAGUAGAACAUGUCAUAUGAUGGGUUACAUCAGGACCGCGUGCGCACCAAUAAUGAUUAAAGACAGUUAGAGUUCUUUGCCGUUCUGCAUUUUAACAGUCCGACUUCUUCUCCUUCAGACUUUUUGUUUUGUAUAAUUGCCGAUCAAUGUCAAAGUUUGGGGUUCCAUUUCGGUCUAUGGCCGUGACUGGGGGAUUUUCUCAGAGAGCUCAGCUGGAAAAUCUAGAACAAGGUGUUGAUGUUCUAAUUGCAACACCUGGUUGUUUCAUGUUCCUAGUGAAAGAAGGAUUCUUGAAGUUAUCAAAUCUGAAAUGGUUGUAGAGCAAAGACCUGUUUUGAAGUUGAUUGCUUUCUGUAAUAAGAUCGAGACAUGCAGAAAAGUAGAGAACGUAUUAAAACGUUUUGAGUAGAAAAGGAACACGUGUUGAGUUCUUCCAUUCCAUUUUGCUAUGGCACAAGAAUCAUGGCUUACAAAUAUAAAGCAAUUCAUGAAUUCUCAUUCUGGAAAGUACUCGCUAUUUCUGGUUUCAAUGAUAGUUGUCCAAGUGAAAAGGAUUGAUAUUUUAGGUUCAGUGAAAGAAGUGGUAAUAAGCACAGAGAAGCAGCAACAGGGUGGACCUCCUCAAAUUGUCAGAUUAGACAAGCCGUUUAAAUUGGCAGAACAAUGGGUUAAUAACAUGAGUAAAGAUGUGUUGGAUGAGCCAAUAGAAGUCGAACUAGAAUGCCGUCCUUUUAGGUUAGGGCUUGGGCAAAAAGUUGCGCGUCAGCCGAGAGUUGGACAUCCACGUUAUCCCAUUGGAAAAAAGUUGCAUGCUAAAUUAGAAGCUGGAAAAAGAAAGGCUGCCAAAAGCAUCGGUGGUUGCUGACAAUGGCAACGAUCAUGAGGAGAGCGAUGAAGAGUUAGAACGCAGAGCUAAUGCAUUUGUCAAGAAGUCUGCAUGCAGUAUAUUAUUUGUAUUGCCGCAUUCAACAUGGAACGUCGAAAUAACGAGAAAGAGAAGGAGAGAGAUCGUUUUGUAAACAUAGUUGGACGGAUGUUCUCUUUCAGGGCCCACUGCCAAUUGAAAGAUUAUUAUUAUUCAUUACCCAACAAUAAAAAAACAUAAAUUUGUUAAUUAAAAAAAUUAUUUAGUAUUCUGAAAAAAAGAAAACAAAGGUAACUUCGCCUCGAUUAUGAAAGUAUCUAAAUAUCAGUAUUUAUUAUGAAUAAUCUAUAUUUCACCUCUAUAUUCUUAUUAUUUUUAAUUUAAGUCUUUAUAUUUCACCUUACUUUGUUCUGUAAUGACUUGGCCUCAUACAGUAUAGUGAGGUGGUCCCGAAUCUCCUUUGCUGUUUUCUUUUCUUCUAUGCUGGACAAGAUCCCAUUUGCAAAUGACAAAUGAAGGUUUGCAAUAGCAUUCCCAUCCAUCUUGUUCCACUUAUUAUCAUCUGUGAGUGUUGUCGGUCGUUCACUGAUAGCCGCAAGACAAUUGUUUUUUCUCAAGACAGCCUUUAUCUUUAAUUUUCACAGUGAGAAAUUUCUGCCAUUGAACUUUUCAAUCUCAAAUUUUGCCGCCAUUGCUUCUAUCACAAACGGUGCCUUUUAGCUUGUAAAAUGAAUCACAGUAAUGAACACAACUCACUAGGUAAGUUCCCAGGAAAGAUUGGAAGGUCACAAGCGGACUUCUUAAGUACCAAUCUCCUUAGAAAGAACCUUCCCUAGAUUGUAAGUGUUCUCACUACUCCGCACAAGCUCUUUUGCACCAAAAAAACCUCAAAACUCUUUUCUGAUAUGGAAGAUUAGACUAAGCUGCAACCACAGAGCAUAAUAGGAUUUUAAGGAAUUUCUUUCCAACCAAGCUCUGAUACCAUUGUAGAAAAAAAUGAACCUGAUAAAGCAAAAUCACAACUAAUAAUUCGAAAAAAUAAAGAUAAAGAAAAAUAAAAUACACAAUAGAACACACAGAUUUACGUGUUUAGGGCAUAAAACUAAAGUUUUUUUGUAAAAAAAUUUGAGUUAGGAACUCAUCCUUAAACAUUUUAAAUGAAUUUUCUUUUACUAUUUUUGUUUAAAUCGUAGGAAUCUAAAGCUUGAGAUGUGUUUUAUUGUUGUAACAAAGAUAAAAGGAAAAGAGUAAGAGAUUGAUAAAAAGUAAAAUUGAUAAAUAUGCUACUGAAAUUUAAUAAAGAUGAGUAAGAUAUAAAGAAUAAUAUUUAUUAUUGGAUCCAUUUAUUUACUUAAAUUAUAUCAUUGUUAGUUGUAAGAUGAGUCAAUAACUUUGAUACUAAUUUAAUUCUCUUUUUUUAUUACUACCAUCGGAAUUGUAUUCAUGCUAAUA
Molecule: long non-coding RNA, 2955 nt
Organism: Ricinus communis (castor bean)
Lineage: Eukaryota; Viridiplantae; Streptophyta; Magnoliopsida; Malpighiales; Euphorbiaceae
Exons: 12
Source: RefSeq, a predicted model, not a curated record